UGUAUACUCCCUCCGUCCGAAAAAGCUUGUCACUCAAAUGAAUGUAUCUAGCACUAACUUGGUGAUAGAUACAUCCAUUCGAGGGACAAGCUUUUUCGGAUGGAGGGAGUAGAUU
Non-coding RNA from Triticum aestivum (bread wheat), 115 nucleotides. The record is from Rfam. Lineage: Eukaryota; Viridiplantae; Streptophyta; Magnoliopsida; Poales; Poaceae.